Molecule: ribosomal RNA, 253 nt
Filed under: uncultured bacterium
Lineage: Bacteria
Description: partial 16S ribosomal RNA
Rfam family: Bacterial small subunit ribosomal RNA
Source: RNAcentral
UACGGAGGGUGCAAGCGUUAUCCGGAUUCACUGGGUUUAAAGGGUGCGUAGGUGGGUUGGUAAGUCAGUGGUGAAAUCUCCAGGCUUAACUUGGAAACUGCCAUUGAUACUAUCAAUCUUGAAUACCGUGGAGGUCAGCGGAAUAUGUCAUGUAGCGGUGAAAUGCUUAGAUAUGACAUAGAACACCGAUUGCGAAGGCAGCUCACUACACGAAUAUUGACGCUGAGGCACGAAAGCGUGGGGAUCAAACAGG